RNAcentral lists this ribosomal RNA (515 nucleotides) under uncultured bacterium. RNAcentral describes it as "partial 16S ribosomal RNA". It matches the Rfam family "Bacterial small subunit ribosomal RNA", at positions 28 to 523 of the family's 1533-position model. The record is from RNAcentral.
GAUGAACGCUGGCGGCGUGCCUAAUACAUGCAAGUCGAGCGAAUGGAUUAAGAGCUUGCUCUUAUGAAGUUAGCGGCGGACGGGUGAGUAACACGUGGGUAACCUGCCCAUAAGACUAGGAUAACUCCGGGAAACCGGGGCUAAUACCGGAUAACAUUUUGAACCGCAUGGUUCGAAAUUGAAAGGCGGCUUCGGCUGUCACUUAUGGAUGGACCCGCGUCGCAUUAGCUAGUUGGUGGGGUAACGGCUCACCAAGGCAACGAUGCGUAGCCGACCCGGGAGGGGGAUCGGCCACCAUGGGAAUGAGACACGGCCCAGACUCCUACGGGAGGCAGCAGUAGGGAAUCUUCCGCAAUGGACGAAAGUCUGACGGAGCAACGCCGCGUGAGUGAUGAAGGCUUUCGGGUCGUAAAACUCUGUUGUUAGGGAAGAACAAGUGCUAGUUGAAUAAGCUGGCACCUUGACGGUACCUAACCAGAAAGCCACGGCUAACUACGUGCCAGCCGCCGCAGUAA